AUUGAACGCUGGCGGAAUGCUUUACACAUGCAAGUCGAACGGUAGAGGGGGCAACCCCUCGAGAGUGGCGAACGGGUGAGUAAUAUAUCGGAACGUGCCCAGUCGUGGGGGAUAACGUAGCGAAAGUUACGCUAAUACCGCAUACGAUCUAAGGAUGAAAGCGGGGGAUCGCAAGACCUCGCGCGAUUGGAGCGGCCGAUAUCAGAUUAGGUAGUUGGUGGGGUAAAGGCCCACCAAGCCAACGAUCUGUAGCUGGUCUGAGAGGACGACCAGCCACACUGGAACUGGGACACGGCCCAGACUCCUACGGGAGGCAGCAGUGGGGAAUUUUGGACAAUGGACGCAAGUCUGAUCCAGCAAUGCCGCGUGCAGGACGAAGGCCUUCGGGUUGUAAACUGCUUUUGUACGGAACGAAACGGUGAGCUCUAAUACAGUUUGCUAAUGACGGUACCGUAAGAAUAAGCACCGGCUAACUACGUGCCAGCCGCCGCCGUAA
Molecule: ribosomal RNA, 496 nt
Filed under: uncultured bacterium
Lineage: Bacteria
Description: partial 16S ribosomal RNA
Rfam family: Bacterial small subunit ribosomal RNA
Source: RNAcentral